AGCACUCUAGGUGACAAGACAGUCUGAGCUCAGCUAAGCCUUCUAAUAAUCCCAGUUCCGGGACCAGAUAUCAACAAUUAAGGCACCAUGGAGUUGGAUCCUUUAGUCACAGUUAUUAGAACUCUCAGCUUUUUGAGUCUUCUGUUCCCAUUCAAGUCUUCCCAAUGGAGACCCCAGAUCCCUUGGAAUAUAAGUCAUCCCCACUGUGCUGUUUGAAUGACCCACCCCCAGAAUCGCUCUUUCUAGAUUGAUGACAAUAAGUAUUCCAUGCCUUGGGGAAGAAACUGGAAUUUCAAGCUGUACUUUGGAAGACAUCUUCUUCAGCUGGGUCCAAGUUUCAUUCCACUCUGAUCUGCUCCCUCACUCAAAGGGGAGUAGUAAUUCCAUCUUUGUCUAUCAAACUGGCCAAUGAGAUGGGGGUCACACGACAAUUGCUAUACGACCACCACUAUUGAUGCUGAUUUUCCAUGACUGACAGCAACCGAAUAAAAUUCUCUGGUCUUGAUAUGAGCCAGGAUGCUACCCUGUCACCCGCAGGAAAACCUGAGCCGAUACAAAUCGCUUCAGCAUCUGGAAAACCAAGGAGAAGUUCCCUCCAGAUA
Long non-coding RNA from Acinonyx jubatus (cheetah), 602 nucleotides. RefSeq lists it as uncharacterized. The transcript is spliced from 4 exons. NCBI's taxonomy places the organism in Eukaryota, Metazoa, Chordata, Mammalia, Carnivora, Felidae. The record is from RefSeq and is a predicted model, not a curated record.